CGUCUCCUGCAGUGUUCGACACGGGCCGGGAAACUCUCGUCCCUAUUUUUCAACCUUGGGGCCAUGUUCUGUCGGUAACAUUGAGCAUGACCGCGUAGUGCGGAAAGCCUUAAGUGCCACGGCCGGCCCCACUUUUUGCUCUGGCUCGAGAGCAAUGGCCUAUGACGGCACAGGCGGGAGACGU
This 184-nucleotide non-coding RNA is filed under the name Chromatiales bacterium. RNAcentral describes it as "6S RNA". It matches the Rfam family "6S / SsrS RNA". Rfam says of the family: E. coli 6S RNA was the first non coding RNA to be sequenced, but its function was unknown until recently. The record is from RNAcentral. Lineage: Bacteria; Pseudomonadati; Pseudomonadota; Gammaproteobacteria; Chromatiales.